CCUACUGGAGGCAGCAGUGAGGAAUAUUGGUCAAUGGGCGAGAGCCUGAACCAGCCAAGUCGCGUGAGGGAAGACGGUCCUAUGGAUUGUAAACCUCUUUUGUCGGGGCGCAAAAAGGCCUCGUGAGGCCACAAGUGAGAGUACCCGAAGAAAAAGCAUCGGCUAACUCCGUGCCAGCAGCCGCGGUAAUACGGAGGAUGCGAGCGUUAUCCGGAUUUAUUGGGGUUAAAGGGAGCGUAGGUGGAUUGUUAAGUCAGUUGUGAAAGUUUGCGGCUCAACCGUAAAAUUGCAGUUGAAACUGGCAGUCUUGAGGACAGUAGAGGUAGGCGGAAGUCGUGGUGUAGCGGUGAAAUGCUUAGAUAUCACGAAGAACUCCGAUUGCGAAGGCAGUUCACUGGACUGCAACUGACACUGAGGCUCGAAAGUGUGGGUAUCAAACAGGAUUAGAUACCCCAGUAGUC
This 461-nucleotide ribosomal RNA is filed under the name uncultured bacterium. RNAcentral describes it as "partial 16S ribosomal RNA". It matches the Rfam family "Bacterial small subunit ribosomal RNA", at positions 338 to 795 of the family's 1533-position model. The record is from RNAcentral.